GACGAACGCUGGCGGCGUGCCUAACACAUGCAAGUCGAACGGAAAGGCCCUGCUUUUGCUCGGUGCUCGUUUGGCGAACGGGUGUGUAACACGUGUGUAUCCCGCACCUGACUUUGGGAUAACUUCUGGAAACUGGGGCUAUUACCCCAUAGGAGCUCUUGCUCCACGGUGUGGGUUGGUGAGAUUCGGCGGUUGUGGAUGGACUCGCGGCUUAUCAGCCUGUUGGUCGGGUAGUGGCUUACCAGGGGUUUGACGGGUAGCCGACCUGAGAGGGUGACCGGCCACAAGGGGACUGCGAGACGGAGCAGUAGCGUACGGGAGGCAACGGUGGAGAGUCUUACACAGUAGGGGGAAGCGAGAUACAGCGACGCCGCGUGCGGGAUGACGGCCUUCUGGUUGUAAACAAAUGUCGCCUGAGACGAGGAGGGAGUGACGGUAAUGGGUAAAGAAGCACCGGCUAACUACGUG
RNAcentral lists this ribosomal RNA (468 nucleotides) under uncultured bacterium. Its description in RNAcentral is "partial 16S ribosomal RNA". It matches the Rfam family "Bacterial small subunit ribosomal RNA", at positions 28 to 507 of the family's 1533-position model. The record is from RNAcentral.